UACAGGCUUAACACAUGCAAGUCGAGGGGCAGCAUGGUCUUAUCUUGCUAAGGCCGAUGGCGACCGGCGCACGGGUGAGUAACACGUAUCCAACCUGCCGUCUACUCUUGGACAGCCUUCUGAAAGGAAGAUUAAUACAAGAUGGCAUCAUGAGUCCGCAUGUUCACAUGAUUAAAGGUAUUCCGGUAGACGAUGGGGAUGCGUUCCAUUAGAUAGUAGGCGGGGUAACGGCCCACCUAGUCUUCGAUGGAUAGGGGUUCUGAGAGGAAGGUCCCCCACAUUGGAACUGAGACACGGUCCAAACUCCUACGGGAGGCAGCAGUGAGGAAUAUUGGUCAAUGGGCGAGAGCCUGAACCAGCCAAGUAGCGUGAAGGAUGACUGCCCUAUGGGUUGUAAACUUCUUUUAUAAAGGAAUAAAGUCGGGUAUGGAUACCCGUUUGCAUGUACUUUAUGAAUAAGGAUCGGCUAACUCCGUGCCAGCAGCCGCGGUAAUACGGAGGAUUCGAGCGUUAUCCGGAUUUAUUGGGUUUAAAGGGAGCGUAGAUGGAUGUUUAAGUCAGUUGUGAAAGUUUGCGGCUCAACCGUAAAAUUGCAGUUGAUACUGGAUAUCUUGAGUGCAGUUGAGGCAGGCGGAAUUCGUGGUGUAGCGGUGAAAUGCUUAGAUAUCACGAAGAACUCCGAUUGCGAAGGCAGCCUGCUAAGCUGCAACUGACAUUGAGGCUCGAAAGUGUGGGUAUCAAACAGGAUUAGAUACCCUGGUAGUCUACAUGGUAAACGAUGAAUACUCGCUGUUUGCGAUAGACGGCAAGCGGCCAAGCGAAAGCGUUAAGUAUUCCACCUGGGGAGUACGCCGGCAACGGUGAAACUCAAAGGAAUUGACGGGGGCCCGCACAAGCGGAGGAACAUGUGGUUUAAUUCGAUGAUACGCGAGGAACCUUACCCGGGCUUAAAUUGCAGAUGAAUUACGGUGAAAGCCGUAAGCCGCAAGGCAUCUGUGAAGGUGCUGCAUGGUUGUCGUCAGCUCGUGCCGUGAGGUGUCGGCUUAAGUGCCAUAACGAGCGCAACCCUUGUUGUCAGUUACUAACAGGUUCUGCUGAGGACUCUGACAAGACUGCCAUCGUAAGAUGUGAGGAAGGUGGGGAUGACGUCAAAUCAGCACGGCCCUUACGUCCGGGGCUACACACGUGUUACAAUGGGGGGUACAGAGGGCCGCUACCACGCGAGCGGAUGCCAAUCCCAAAAACCUCUCUCAGUUCGGACUGGAGUCUGCAACCCGACUCCACGAAGCUGGAUUCGCUAGUAAUCGCGCAUCAGCCACGGCGCGGUGAAUACGUUCCCGGGCCUUGCCCACAAGGCCCGUC
RNAcentral lists this ribosomal RNA (1362 nucleotides) under uncultured bacterium. RNAcentral describes it as "bacterial SSU rRNA". It matches the Rfam family "Bacterial small subunit ribosomal RNA", at positions 41 to 1398 of the family's 1533-position model. The record is from RNAcentral.